UACGUAGGGGGCAAGCGUUGUCCGGAAUCAUUGGGCGUAAAGCGCACGUAGUCGGCUUUGCAAGUCGGGUGUGAAAUCCCCGGGCUCAACCUGGGAACUGCAUCCGAGACUGCAUUGCUAGAGUAUGGGAGAGGGAAGCGGAAUUUCUGGUGUAGCAGUGAAAUGCGUAGAUAUCAGAAGGAACAUCAGUGGCGAAGGCGGCUCCCUGGACAAAUACUGACGAUCAGGUGCGAAAGCGUGGGAGCAAACAGG
RNAcentral lists this ribosomal RNA (252 nucleotides) under uncultured bacterium. RNAcentral describes it as "partial 16S ribosomal RNA". It matches the Rfam family "Bacterial small subunit ribosomal RNA", at positions 524 to 776 of the family's 1533-position model. The record is from RNAcentral.